RNAcentral lists this ribosomal RNA (492 nucleotides) under uncultured bacterium. Its description in RNAcentral is "partial 16S ribosomal RNA". It matches the Rfam family "Bacterial small subunit ribosomal RNA", at positions 29 to 507 of the family's 1533-position model. The record is from RNAcentral.
AGUGAACGCUGGCGGUGGGCCUAACACAUGCAAGUCGAACGGCAGCACAGUAAGAGCUUGCUCUUACGGGUGGCGAGUGGCGGACGGGUGAGGAAUACAUCGGAAUCUACUUUUACGUGGGGGAUAACGUAGGGACACAUACGCUACUACCGCAUACGACCUACGGGUGGAAUCAGGGGAUCAUCGGGCCUUUGCCGUUUGAAUGAGCCGGUGUCGGAUUAGCUAGUUGGCGGGGUAACGUCUCAGCCAGCCCACGAUGCGUAGCUGACCUGAGCGGGUGAACCGCCACAGUGAGACUGAGACACGGUCACGACUCCAACGGGCGGCAGCAGUAGGGAAUCUUACGCAGUGGGCGAAAGCCUGACGGAGCAACGCCGCGUGAUUGAUGAAGAUCUUCGGAUCGUACAACUCUGUUAUUAGGGAAGAACAAAUGUGUAAGUAACGAUGCACGUCUUGACGGUACCUAAUCAGAAGGCAACGGCUAGCAACGUG